ACGGGGUGGAGUAACGCGUGGGUAACCGUGCCUUGUACAGGGGGAGAACAGUUGGAAACGGCUGCUAAUACCGCAUAAGCGCACAGCAUCGCAUGAUGCAGUGUGAAAAACUCCGGUGGUAUAAGAUGGACCCGCGUUGGAUUAGCUAGUUGGUGAGGUAACGGCCCACCAAGGCAACGAUCCAUAGCCGACCUGAGAGGGUGACCGGCCACAUUGGGACUGAGACACGGCCCAA
This 235-nucleotide ribosomal RNA is filed under the name uncultured bacterium. Its description in RNAcentral is "partial 16S ribosomal RNA". It matches the Rfam family "Bacterial small subunit ribosomal RNA", at positions 104 to 334 of the family's 1533-position model. The record is from RNAcentral.